Molecule: ribosomal RNA, 1321 nt
Filed under: uncultured bacterium
Lineage: Bacteria
Description: bacterial SSU rRNA
Rfam family: Bacterial small subunit ribosomal RNA
Source: RNAcentral
GAUGAACGCUGGCGGCGUGCCUAACACAUGCAAGUCGAACGAACCUUCGGGUUAGUGGCGGACGGGUGAGUAACGCGUGAGAAUCUGCCCUCAGGAGGGGGAUAACGGUUGGAAACGACCGCUAAUACCCCAUAUGCCGAUAGGUGAAAUGAAUUUCGCCUGAGGAUGAGCUCGCGUCUGAUUAGCUUGUUGGUGAGGUAAUGGCUCACCAAGGCUUCGAUCAGUAGCUGGUCUGAGAGGAUGAUCAGCCACACUGGGACUGGGACACGGCCCAGACUCCUACGGGAGGCAGCAGUGGGGAAUUUUCCGCAAUGGGCGAAAGCCUGACGGAGCAACGCCGCGUGAGGGACGAAGGCCUCUGGGCUGUAAACCUCUUUUCUCAAGGAAGAAGAUAUGACGGUACUUGAGGAAUAAGCCACGGCUAAUUCCGUGCCAGCAGCCGCGGUAAUACGGGAGUGGCAAGCGUUAUCCGGAAUUAUUGGGCGUAAAGCGUCCGCAGGCGGCCUUUCAAGUCUGCUGUUAAAGCGUGGAGCUUAACUCCAUAUGGCAGUGGAAACUGAUCGGCUUGAGUAUGGUAGGGGCAGAGGGAAUUCCCGGUGUAGCGGUGAAAUGCGUAGAUAUCGGGAAGAACACCAGUGGCGAAGGCGCUCUGCUGGGCCAUUACUGACGCUCAUGGACGAAAGCCAGGGGAGCGAAAGGGAUUAGAUACCCCUGUAGUCCUGGCCGUAAACGAUGAACACUAGGUGUCGGGGGAAUCGACCCCUUCGGUGUCGUAGCUAACGCGUUAAGUGUUCCGCCUGGGGAGUACGCACGCAAGUGUGAAACUCAAAGGAAUUGACGGGGGCCCGCACAAGCGGUGGAGUAUGUGGUUUAAUUCGAUGCAACGCGAAGAACCUUACCAGGGUUUGACAUCCUGAGAACCUCUUAGAAAUUUGAGGGUGCCUUCGGGAAUUCAGUGACAGGUGGUGCAUGGCUGUCGUCAGCUCGUGUCGUGAGAUGUUGGGUUAAGUCCCGCAACGAGCGCAACCCACGUUUUUAGUUGCCAGCAUUUAGUUGGGCACUCUAGAAAGACCGCCGGUGAUAAACCGGAGGAAGGUGUGGAUGACGUCAAGUCAUCAUGCCCCUUACACCCUGGGCUACACACGUACUACAAUGCUACGGACAAAGGGCAGCAAACUCGCGAGAGCUAGCAAAUCCCAUAAACCGUGGCUCAGUUCAGAUCGUAGGCUGCAACUCGCCUACGUGAAGUAGGAAUCGCUAGUAAUCGCAGGUCAGCAUACUGCGGUGAAUACGUUCCCGGGCCUUGUACACACCGCCCGUC